UGAUUCUCGGCAGGAGAAGGGGUUCCAUU
RNAcentral lists this non-coding RNA (29 nucleotides) under Rattus norvegicus (Norway rat). Lineage: Eukaryota; Metazoa; Chordata; Mammalia; Rodentia; Muridae. The record is from RNAcentral.